Long non-coding RNA from Hevea brasiliensis (rubber tree), 1536 nucleotides. RefSeq lists it as uncharacterized. The record is from RefSeq and is a predicted model, not a curated record. The transcript is spliced from 2 exons. Lineage: Eukaryota; Viridiplantae; Streptophyta; Magnoliopsida; Malpighiales; Euphorbiaceae.
UUCUUCCCUUCUUUUUUUUUCAACGUUUCUGUGAAUUUGCCCAUCUUAUCUUCUUUCAUGUUAAUUUAUUGCUGAAUAUUGAAAUCCUUUUAGGUUUUGUAAUUGCUUUGUUUGUUUUUAGAGUUUUUAUUAUAGGAUAAAUAUUUUUGCAAAAAUUUGGUUUUAAGAGAUUCAUGAUGAUUACAAACUUAAUCCCAUGCCAAGUUGACCAUGGUUUACUCAACCAGAUUGAAUGCACUUGUAUUGUUCUUUUCUUUUAAAUCAAAACAAAAUUCGACUCCUGCUUUCAAUUUCAAAUACUUUUGCUGCAUUUGGAUUGCGUUAGGAUGCAUGGAUUUGUAUUUAGAUGAAAUACCUUAUUUAAGAUUUUUAGAAAAAUAUAAAUUUAAAUUUUAAUAAAAUUUAAGAUGAAUAUGCGAUCAAAUAAAGUAAAGACCUGAAAUAAUAUUAUUAAUUAUGAUAUUUUAAAUUUAAAAUUAUUUUUCUUUUUAUUAGCUAUAAAAUAAAUUUAUAAAUUUCAAAUUUUAAAUUUUAAAUUUAAAUCCAUGGAUUCAGGAUUUCCAAACUAGGAUGCCUCUUUUUUUUUUUUUUUCCUGUAAGUUUCUAAGUUUCCAAGCAUGGUCGGAUCAAUCACAAAGUGAAGCUGGCUUUCUUUUUUUUUUUUUUUUUGUAUAAUUCAUGACACCUGUUUAGAUGGUUUUGAAAUACCACCGGCACUUCCAGUAAUAAGAAUUGUUUGAGGUACUGCAUCUUUUAAGUUCUUGAAAUGGAAUCUGGCCAUUAGUGAAAGAACUGUUUUAUGACUAUAAUGCAUUGGAAGCUAACAGGCGAUAUGGUUGGUUCGAGCUUCUCUAUUGAUGCAUGAACUCAUGAUAUCGGUGGAUUAAAGGAAGGAUGACAACUGAAAACCAAGAGACCAAGUAUGUGGUCUGAUUGGUCUAUUGAGAAACGUUGCUGGAUUUUUGGAGCAAAAAUUGGAUUAAAAUUUUGCUUUCAAGCACAAAAGAAGGAUUUUCACGCAGAUGGAGGUGUUUCAAAGGGAAGCAACAAAUCAUUGUGUGAUGAAUGAUAAAAAUGCUCUUAAAAUACAGUAGCUAUUGCUAAUGGACGAUAAUGGGUUUUAGAGUGGCAGUUCAUUAUUUAGUAACUUGGAGAUGAUGUAUUCUGGAAGCUACUAGUUAAUAAGUAGUACAACUAUAAUAAUGGAAACUUCAGGCAGUUUGGUCUUGAAGUUGCUUAGGCUUUUGUGGUGUAUGUUUUAAUUAUUUGGUAAGCUUUGAAAGUUAGGCUUUAUAUUAUUGACAGUGAUCUUAAGGAAGUUAUUUUAUAGGUAUGCAGACCUUGGGCAGGUCAUGAGGAUAUAGAGCUUUCUACUUAUUUAUCUACUUGUUUUUAGGCUGUAAAAAACUUCUAAUAUUUGGUCUGCAAUGCAAGACACUGAAUGGUUUGUUUUAUAACUAGCAGUUCUUGCUAGGUUUCGGAUAGUAAAGCUUGUGCUAAAAAUUCAAAUAAAUUCUUAAAUUUCAAAUUCCUCUA